This 339-nucleotide unclassified non-coding RNA is filed under the name soil metagenome. RNAcentral describes it as "partial contains 5.8S ribosomal RNA, internal transcribed spacer 2, and large subunit ribosomal RNA". The stretch from base 1 to 120 matches the Rfam family "5.8S ribosomal RNA", at positions 35 to 154 of the family's 154-position model. The record is from RNAcentral.
GAUGAAGAACGUAGCGAAAUGCGAUACGUAGUGUGAAUUGCAGAAUUCAGUGAAUCAUCGAAUCUUUGAACGCACAUUGCACCUCUCGGUAGUCCGGGAGGUAUGCCUGUUCGAGCGUCAUUUGUACCCUCAAGCUCUGCUUGGUGUUGGGUGUUUGUUCCGCCUCUGUGUGUGAACUCGCCUCAAAACAAUUGGCAGCCGGCGUACUUGUUUCGGAGCGCAGCACAUUUUGCGAUCCAGAUCAACGUACAGCGGCAUCCAAGAAGCCUUAUUUAACGCUCUUGACCUCGGAUCAGGUAGGGAUACCCGCUGAACUUAAGAAUAUCAAUAAGCGGAGGA